CCUACGGAGGGCAGCAGUAGUGAAUCUUGCGCAAUGGGCGAAAGCCUGACGCAGCAACGCCACGUGAUCGAGACGCCCUUCGGGGUGUAACGAUCUGUCAGUGGGUACGAAACUUGACGGUACCCACAGAGGAAGCAACGGCUCACACCGUGCCAGCAGCCGCGGUAAUACGGGGGGUGCAAGCGUGGUCAGGAAUCAUUGGGCGUAAAGAGUUCGUAGGCGGCACGUAAAGUCUGGUGUUAAAGGCAGAGGAUCAACUUCUGUACGGCACUGGAUACUUGCGAGCUAGAAUGCGGUAGAGGUAAAGGGAAUUCCUGGUGUAGCGGUGAAAUGCUUAGAUAUCAGGAGGAACAUCGGUGGCGUAAGCGCUUUACUGGGCCGUAAUUGACGCUGAGGAACGAAAGCCAGGGUAGCAAAUGGGAUUAGAUACCCGAGUAGUC
RNAcentral lists this ribosomal RNA (440 nucleotides) under uncultured bacterium. RNAcentral describes it as "partial 16S ribosomal RNA". It matches the Rfam family "Bacterial small subunit ribosomal RNA", at positions 338 to 795 of the family's 1533-position model. The record is from RNAcentral.